Molecule: ribosomal RNA, 268 nt
Filed under: uncultured bacterium
Lineage: Bacteria
Description: partial 16S ribosomal RNA
Rfam family: Bacterial small subunit ribosomal RNA
Source: RNAcentral
GCAAGUCGUACGAGAAUUCUUCUGUUCGCAGAAGAUAGUAAAGUGGCGCACGGGUGAGUAACGCGUGGGUAAUCUACCUUCGAAUUUGGGAUAACAUUGCGAAAGCGGUGCUAAUACCGGAUAAUAUCCUUUAUUCUUUGGAAUAUUGGAUCAAAGAUGGCCUCUACAUGUAAGCUAUUGUUUGAAGAUGAGCCCGCGUACCAUUAGCUUGUUGGUAGGGUAAUGGCCUACCAAGGCUACGAUGGUUAGCUGGUCUGAGAGGAUGAUC